CGCCUCAGGUACGGCCCAGGUUGGGAGGGUGCUUCGGUAACUUCCGGGCGAGACCUGCGCAUUUCCGGUCAAGAUGGCGGCGCCCACCAGAGUCAGGUGUGGGCGACUCUGUCUUUAGUAGCGGCGGCGACUCGAGGCCCGGGGAAGACCCUCAGGAGUCGACCCGUCAGGACGCCAGAGGUACCUCAGCGGUGAUCACCCCCUACCCCAAACACAUCCUUCCCUUCACAAACAGCCCAUGGCGGACCAAGGCUCGGGGGGCAGCCGCCUCCCCCUGGCGCUGCCCUCAGCCUCCCAGGGUUGCUCAUCAGGGGGCGGCGGCUCGUCGGUGGGGAACUCGGGCCGUCCUCCGCCCCCGAGAAACCUCCAAGGCCUGCUGCAGAUGGCUAUCACGGCGGGCUCCGAGGAACCAGACCCCCCUCCAGAACCCAUGAGUGAGGAGAGGCGGCAGUGGCUGCAGGAGGCUAUGUCAGCUGCCUUCCGGGGCCAGCAGGAGGAAGUGGAGCAGAUGAAGAACUGCCUUCGAGUACUGUCCCAGCCUACACCCUCCUUGGCUGCUGAGGCUGACCUGGCCGCUGACCAGCAGGAGCGCGAGGGGGCCCUGGAGCUGCUGGCCGACCUGUGUGAAAACAUGGACAAUGCUGCAGACUUCUGCCAACUGUCAGGCAUGCACCUGCUGGUGGGCCGGUACCUGGAGGCGGGGCCCGCAGGGCUGCGGUGGCGGGCGGCGCAGCUCAUCGGCACAUGCAGCCAGAACGUGGCGGCCAUCCAGGAGCAGGUGCUGGGCCUGGGCGCCCUGCGCAAGUUGCUGCGGCUGCUUGACCGGGACGCCUGCGACUUGGUGCGCGUGAAGGCUCUCUUCGCCAUCUCCUGCCUGGUCCGGGAGCAGGAGGCUGGGCUGCUGCAGUUCCUUCGCCUGGAUGGCUUCUCCGUCUUAAUGCGGGCCAUGCAGCAGCAGGUGCAAAAGCUCAAGGUCAAGUCAGCGUUCCUGCUGCAGAACCUGCUCGUGGGCCACCCCGAACACAAAGGGACCCUGUGCUCCAUGGGGAUGGUCCAGCAGCUCGUGGCCCUGAUCCGGACAGAACACAGCCCCUUCCAUGAGCAUGUGCUUGGAGCCCUGUGCAGCCUGGUGACAGACUUCCCCCAGGGCGUGCGGGAGUGCCGGGAGCCUGAGCUGGGCCUGGAGGAGCUCCUCCGUCAUCGCUGCCGGCUGCUGCAGCAGCACGAGGAGUACCAGGUCCUGUGGUCAUGUGGUUCAAAAUUCAAGAUGCAUAGGAGGGUCAACAGUGAUGAGUCUCCCUGCUGCCCCCGUCCCUAACCACCCAGUACCUCCCCCAGUUCCGUGCGUGGCCUUCCCAAGAUAGUCUGGGCACACAGGCAAAUGAGGAGCUGGAGUUCUGCGAGAAGCUGCUACAGACCUGUUUCUCCAGCCCGACGGAUGACAGCAUGGAUCGGUGAAACCUGGUGGCUUAUCACCCCCUCUCCGUGGGAAGCCCGGGCGUCCUGCCUCCCAAGGGAGAGCAGGGCCUUGAUGGUGCGCGGCCAGGGCGUGCCAGCCCGUCUCUGCUCAGCCCCUGCCGGGGGCGCUGAGGAAGGCGCCGGCUCCCUGGACCCCACCCCUCACGCUCUCGCUGCGUUCCCCCUUCUGCGUCCACACUGCUCUUCUAAUAAAGGUGUUUCUCCUUCGA
This is an RNA transcript of Zalophus californianus (California sea lion), 1688 nucleotides long. It is a transcript of the gene named HSPA (Hsp70) binding protein 1, with no coding region annotated. The transcript is spliced from 9 exons. Lineage: Eukaryota; Metazoa; Chordata; Mammalia; Carnivora; Otariidae. The record is from RefSeq and is a predicted model, not a curated record.